GAAAAUUAACUCUGUACAAUCCAUUCCGAUGAAACAUUGUGCAGAG
RNAcentral lists this non-coding RNA (46 nucleotides) under Sellimonas intestinalis. Its description in RNAcentral is "uup RNA". It matches the Rfam family "uup RNA". Lineage: Bacteria; Bacillati; Bacillota; Clostridia; Lachnospirales; Lachnospiraceae. RNAcentral also lists the same sequence under 1 other name. The record is from RNAcentral.